GAUGAACGCUGGCGGCGUGCCUAAUACAUGCAAGUCGAGCGAACGGACGAGAAGCUUGCUUCUCUGAUGUUAGCGGCGGACGGGUGAGUAACACGUGGAUAACCUACCUAUAAGACUGGGAUAACUUCGGGAAACCGGAGCUAAUACCGGAUAAUAUUUUGAACCGCAUGGUUCAAAAGUGAAAGACGGUCUUGCUGUCACUUAUAGAUGGAUCCGCGCUGCAUUAGCUAGUUGGUAAGGUAACGGCUUACAAGGCAACGAUGCAUAGCCGACCUGAGAGGGUGAUCGGCCACACUGGAACUGAGACACGGUCCAGACUCCUACGGGAGGCAGCAGUAGGGAAUCUUCCGCAAUGGGCGAAAGCCUGACGGAGCAACGCCGCGUGAGUGAUGAAGGUCUUCGGAUCGUAAAACUCUGUUAUUAGGAAAGAACAUAUGUGUAAGUAACUGUGCACAUCUUGACGGUACCUAAUCAGAAAGCCACGGCUAACUACGUG
RNAcentral lists this ribosomal RNA (496 nucleotides) under uncultured bacterium. Its description in RNAcentral is "partial 16S ribosomal RNA". It matches the Rfam family "Bacterial small subunit ribosomal RNA", at positions 28 to 507 of the family's 1533-position model. The record is from RNAcentral.